This is a non-coding RNA of Zootermopsis nevadensis, 684 nucleotides long. The record is from RefSeq and is a predicted model, not a curated record. NCBI's taxonomy places the organism in Eukaryota, Metazoa, Arthropoda, Insecta, Blattodea, Termopsidae.
GUUUACCAAAGUGAGGAAGCAUACUACCAGUAAGGCAUAACAUCCAUACAACAUUUAAUGAUGUUCAAUUAAGCCAUUCUCCAGCUAUAAAACUCGUAAGACGGAUGUGAUGUGAAGAGGCAUUUUAGAAAUGCUUGCUGCCUCAUCAUCAAUAUAAAGAAAAGGGAACCUACUAGUGGUUUGGACACGAAAAUACGAUAGCACAUGCAUACAAGGAGCAUAUUAGAUUAGAAUUUAAUGGAGAGAGAGGUUCAUAGGAUGACCCAGAACAAUGUGGUUCAGCAAGGUAGUAGAAGACAUCAAGAUGAGAGGAAAGAGAUGACAAGAAGCUAAAAAGGAAAGGAAUGCAGACUUUACAUCCACUGACCUGUAUAAAACAUAAACAAUUCAAGAAAGUUCAAACAGAAUUUGGAUUAUACAGUGCUAAGUGGGAGUAAAAGGAUAUAUCAUUUUAUAUUGGCAUAUUAAAAAAUGAUUUUUUGUAGGGUUAAUAUUAUACAUGGAAAUUUCUUGAACUGCCAAUGUACAUAAUGAGAUAUGGAAAGGAUCCAGAGGAAGAAAGAAACUCACACAAUCACAAAAACUAACUGCAGGUGUAACUACAAGGCAACUACUUGAAUCAAAAGUGUAUUUUGAAUGCAAUGUGAAUAUACAUGUAAUUAAAUUACAAUGUAUAACACAACA